Molecule: long non-coding RNA, 1715 nt
Filed under: Theobroma cacao (cacao)
Lineage: Eukaryota; Viridiplantae; Streptophyta; Magnoliopsida; Malvales; Malvaceae
Description: long non-coding RNA (TCAC_LNC001145)
Source: RNAcentral
GAAAAGAAAAACAAAAACCAUAGGUGAAGAAUUUCAAGAGAAAAGUGUGGGAAAUUCAAGGAAAUAAGUGACAAAAGGUAAAAUUUCUUGAUUUUGACUUGUGAUCUACCUUUUCCAUGCAUUUCUCCUCAUUUUCUAUGGUUAAAUUACAUGUUUUUAUGAUGAAUUCAUGGCUGGUCGAAAUGGGUAUGGAGAGAGAAUAAUGUUAGAUUGAUUUGAUUCUAAAUUAUGUUAGUGUUUUUAGUUAGUUUACCAUGUCUAGAAACAAAACAACAAGAAAAAAGUUCAUAUUCCCCACCACUCAUCAAUUGCCGAACCUACCUUGUGUUGAGUGAGGAUGAAUUUGAUUUUUAUUUUAAGAGAAUUGGUUAGAAAAUGAUGAAUUAUGGUGUGAAAAAGUAGUAGAAAAAAUCAUGGUGUUAAUGCACCAUUAUUGACCAAAAAUUCUAAGAAGAAAAGUGAAGAUAGUUUUGCCAAAUUUUAGGUUAUUUGACUUGAGUUUGGUGAAUUAAGAUAUUGGAAAAGAAAUGGAGCAAUUUGGAGCUAAAUUGGACGCGUUGGCCAAUUAAUCGGAUGAUAAGACGAAUUAGGCCAAUACCGAAUUUAGAUGGGUACUCGUGCAUUUUGUAUUCCAUAUCAUGCAUUAGUAGUUUAAAUUAAUUUAAAUUCAAUUUAGUACCAAUGAAGUAAGUUUCUCGAUUUUGUACUGUGUUAAGGUGGUGAGUCCUCCGAUAAAGGUAAGGAAAUUGCACUUGAGGACCAAUAGUCUGAGUACUUCAAAAAUCCCCACUCUAGACAUCGUGAGUAACAUUAUCAUUUUAGGUUUUAUAAACAAAAAUGUGUUUAAAUGAAAAGAUUUUAUAAAUUGUCUUGAAACGAAAUAACGAUUUUGAAAAUAGAGUAAUUGGAGACCACCGGUAUAUUGUAAAUUUAUGAUUGGAAAUUGAUGGCUUAUGUUAUAUUGUUAUUGUGUUGGCAUUGUGUUGGCAUGACUGGCUGGGCUGUGUUUUAUGAAUUGUAUGAAUUGUUUUAUUUUACCCUUGCAGGCUGGAUAGUAAAAUAUUAGCCUUGUCAUGCUGUUAAAAUUUUAUUAUAUGGAGGGUUUAGCUUGUUGCAAUAGGCGAAUUUUGUGGACCAGCCUAUUAGAGGGACACAGAAUUCGGAUAUAGAUAUAUGUACCUCGAUCGAAAAGGCGUGUAGGGUAUCUCCUGAGGUAUGGUUAGAGUUUACGUCAAGCCAAACAACCUCGUGAUGAUGAACUCAAUUAAUGCCAAGGAACGGUUGUGUUUUUCAAACUAAUAAUUUGUUUGCGUGUAUACGAAAUUUUUAAUAGCCUUGGUAGACUCGGUUAGAUGCCUCGGCCAAGGUAUCCCCGAGAAUGAUUUUGGCAGGAGCCAAGCUUUUAAAAUACUCAUAAGCCAUGUUGAUUAUUUAAAUGAAAUGAGUAUUUAUGUUAUGAAAAACAUAUUUAGAUGAAAUGUUUUAAUAGUCUCCUUUUACUCGACUUUAGAUAUUUUAAAUGAUGUUUGUUUACUCGCUGGGAUUUUAUAAUCUCACCACUCUCCUUUCCCUCCAUUUCAGGCUUAGAAUAGAUUGUAGAUAGCUGAUCUCAUCGAGGACUACCAUUGGACUUGCAUUUUCCAAACUGUAGGUUCACAAUCCUCUUUACUUUUGUUUAUUCGGGGGCCCACUUGUUAUUGUAAAUUAAAUUAAAU